GGUGACAGCCAGAGAGUGACAGCAGAAGGUGACAAGUGACAAUGACAAUCGUGACAUCAAAGUUAUUUUGGGAUCAAAAGUUAUAUCCUGAAGGAAAAUACAACUAGCAAAGGAUAAAUAUGGGUAAUAUAGUCGGACCGCCGAAAAUUGCGGCUGCCUCUGAAGUAAGCAAACCGGCCUCUGAAGAACCCAAAAAGUUGAAACCUUGCUGUGCUUGCCCGGAAACCAAGAAAGUUCGUGAUGAAUGUAUAAUUCAACGAGGCCAAGAAAACUGCGGAGACCUUAUCGAAGCCCAUAAAAAGUGCAUGAGAGAUUUGGGAUUCAACAUUUAAAUACUUUUCCCUGUUACAUACUUAGUUUUGUAUAUAGUUUCUUAGGAAUGUGAUGUAAUAUUUUGUUUAUUAAGUUAUUUUCCAAAAAUUAGUUUUAUGUGCUUCUAUUGGCUAACCUGUAUAUAAUCUUAACCAAUAAAUGGUUGGGUAAAUA
This is a long non-coding RNA of Sitophilus oryzae (rice weevil), 486 nucleotides long. RefSeq lists it as uncharacterized. NCBI's taxonomy places the organism in Eukaryota, Metazoa, Arthropoda, Insecta, Coleoptera, Curculionidae. The transcript has 3 exons. The record is from RefSeq and is a predicted model, not a curated record.